This is a regulatory RNA element of Paenibacillus pini JCM 16418, 149 nucleotides long. It matches the Rfam family "Ribosomal protein L10 leader". Rfam says of the family: This family is a putative r-protein leader autoregulatory structure found in B. subtilis and other low-GC Gram-positive bacteria. NCBI's taxonomy places the organism in Bacteria, Bacillati, Bacillota, Bacilli, Caryophanales, Paenibacillaceae. The record is from Rfam.
UAAAGUUGAAUAUGCUUACCGUAGACAGUAGGUGCCCAUAAGGCUUAAUUUCCUACCGAGGUGUUGUGAUAGAAUAUACAUGAUUUGCCCGCUGCAAAUCGUGAUUCAUCAGGCCUUCGUGAUUCUACGGAGGCUUUUUACUUGCCUAU